RNAcentral lists this unclassified non-coding RNA (346 nucleotides) under soil metagenome. RNAcentral describes it as "partial contains 5.8S ribosomal RNA, internal transcribed spacer 2, and large subunit ribosomal RNA". The stretch from base 2 to 120 matches the Rfam family "5.8S ribosomal RNA", at positions 37 to 154 of the family's 154-position model. The record is from RNAcentral.
GUGAAGAACGCAGUGAAAUGCGAUAAGUAAUGCGAAUUGCAGAAUUCCAGUGAGUCAUCGAAUCUUUGAACGCACAUUGCGCCCUUUGGUAUUCCGAAGGGCAUGCCUGUUCGAGCGUCAUUAUCACCCCUCAAGCACGGCUUGUGUGUUGGGCCUCCGUCCUCCUCCCGGGGGACGGGCCCGAAAGGCAGCGGCGGCACCGCGUCCGGUCCUCGAGCGUAUGGGGCUUCGUCACCCGCUCUUGUAGGCCCGGCCGGCGCUUGCCGACACAUCAAUCUUUUUUCCAGGUUGACCUCGGAUCAGGUAGGGAUACCCGCUGAACUUAAGCAUAUCAAUAAGCGGAGGA